AUGAAGACACGUGAAACAGGGGAUGUUUGGAUGAAGCCCACGGCUGAGAAGAGAUGAGGCUUUGGGAUGCGGCUGUACGCUUUUGAGAAGAUCUCGGAUGGUUGUUCUUUGGAUGCGGAAGGAGUUGAAUUCCUGAGCUUUAUCCAUGGACGAUGGGACUCCGUUCCAAACGGGAUGAGAUCUGGGCGUUUUGGAAGGCUUAUCCCGCCUGAGAAAAGAACUUGAGGAUUCGGUUGGGAAGAACUUGUUCCGAAAUAGGGGAGCUAAGAACGGAAUGGGAUGAAGGAAGUUCACUAGGAUGUAAGUUGAAACAGGGGAUUCUUCCGUGGCCAAUUAAACCGAAUAGGAGGGAGUUUAGAUUCGGUUGACAGUUGAGAUGAAGCUUGCUUGGAAUUCAUUCGUG
Molecule: long non-coding RNA, 403 nt
Filed under: Phoenix dactylifera (date palm)
Lineage: Eukaryota; Viridiplantae; Streptophyta; Magnoliopsida; Arecales; Arecaceae
Description: long non-coding RNA (PDAC_LNC008821)
Source: RNAcentral